This 468-nucleotide ribosomal RNA is filed under the name uncultured bacterium. Its description in RNAcentral is "partial 16S ribosomal RNA". It matches the Rfam family "Bacterial small subunit ribosomal RNA", at positions 28 to 507 of the family's 1533-position model. The record is from RNAcentral.
GACGAACGCUGGCGGCGUGCUUAACACAUGCAAGUCGAACGGAAAGGCCCUGCUUUUGUGGGGUGCUCGAGUGGCGAACGGGUGAGUAACACGUGAGUAACCUGCCCUUGACUUUGGGAUAACUUCAGGAAACUGGGGCUAAUACCGGAUAGGAGCUCCUGCUGCAUGGUGGGGGUUGGAAAGUUUCGGCGGUUGGGGAUGGACUCGCGGCUUAUCAGCUUGUUGGUGGGGUAGUGGCUUACCAAGGCUUUGACGGGUAGCCGGCCUGAGAGGGUGACCGGCCACAUUGGGACUGAGAUACGGCCCAGACUCCUACGGGAGGCAGCAGUGGAGAAUAUUGCACAAUGGGCGAAAGCCUGAUGCAGCAACGCCGCGUGCGGGAUGACGGCCUUCGGGUUGUAAACCGCUUUCGCCUGUGACGAAGCGUGAGUGACGGUAAUGGGUAAAGAAGCACCGGCUAACUACGUG